Oreochromis aureus is the source of this 499-nucleotide long non-coding RNA. RefSeq lists it as uncharacterized. Lineage: Eukaryota; Metazoa; Chordata; Actinopteri; Cichliformes; Cichlidae. The record is from RefSeq and is a predicted model, not a curated record. The transcript has 2 exons.
CUAAAAGCUACAGGACAGGAGCUCUGAGGACUGGAGUUGGACACCCCUGCUCUGUUACGUCUUCACACUCAUCUCACACCAACUCUCCGGUUCUCACAGUCUAAAAAUCAACCCUCCACGGGGUUUCAAUAUCCGGGUCACCUGCCCGGUCAGUCACCUGAUCCUCUGAAUCUUUGAGGACCUGACUGCAAGCCACCGCAAAGCACCGGACCUCUCUCAUUAAGACACGGGGGCUUUCCACUGGGGCGUCUUUGUUCUCAGCAGGCAUGGCACCAUGGGACUGCCUAGGACGGGUCUGUCUCCAUCUGGGCCUGGGGUCUUUAUCAGAACCACCUGCCCGAGAGGGUCAACCAUAUCUCAAACAUCUUUUUUUUCUCUCCAGAGGAAGAAGGAAAAUCAUUUCAACUGUUUUCCUGUUGACCCACAUGCCAUGGCUGAGGCUCUUUUCUGAGUGUGUGUGAAUAUUUACUUGUGUUUUAGUUACUCUCUGUGUAUAAAA